AUGACACUAGUGUUAACGCCGAGCGGCCCGUCACAGGAAGCAAAAGCAGCGGGGUGGUGGCUGAUUGGCGACGGACGGCUGAGAAUGGCGACGGCGACGGAGUUGGACUCCGGUGGCGGCUCGAAGAGGCGGCGGACGGGCGAGGGAGGGGAGCGAGCGCAUCCAGGCGCGGGAGCGGCGGAGGAGGACAGUUUUUCGUCGCUGCCGGAGGCGCUGCGGCUGCACAUCCUCGGCCUCCUCCCGUUCAAAUCCGCCGUUCGCACGGGCGCGCUCUCCACCGGGUGGCGCGCGCUCUGGGCGCACCGCUGGCCGGCGCCCUCCUCGCUCGACCUCCGCCUCAAGACCCACGCGCCCCCGCCGCCGAUCCUCGAGUCCCUGGAGCGGCGCGGCCGGCGACGCCUCGACCGGUUCUCCCUGACGUUCCAGAUCGGCAAGGGGGACCUCAAGCCCGACGGCGUCCACCGCGUCCUGGACUACGCCGCCGCCUGCUCCGUCGCCGACCUCCACGUGGACUUCGCCCACCGGACCCUGGGCUUCAUUUUCAAGCUCCGCCUCCCUCAGGGCGACCCCCACCUCACGCGCCUCACCGUCGGCGACAUUCGCGUCGGCCUCUCCAAGCCCUUCUCCGCCCGCUCCCACACCUUCUCCGUCCUCGAGGUCAUCUGCCUCGAGGGCGUCACGCUCUCCGACCACACCGUCGAGAACCUGGUCGCCGCGUGCCCACUCCUCCGCACCCUCGACCUGCGCUACUGCGAUGGCCUCGAUUUCGUCAACGUCGAGACCGCCGGGCCUGAGGAGCCUCACCGUCGCGGAGUGCAGAGGGGUGAGAGACAUUUCUACCAUGGAGGCGCCCAGCCUUCGCUCCUUCCGCUACAGCGGCUCCUACAUCCGCGCCCUAACAAUCCCUGCCACCUGCGCGCUCGCCGACCUUUACCUAUGCUUCGGCGGACCUGCUGGUCGCCUCCGGCCUCUAGGCACCCCAGUCUGUUUCGAGUCUGCUUGGCCUGCAGGGGUGCCAAGAAAUUGGCUUCAGGCACUCACCAGCCUCUCAAACCUGACCGUGCUCACCCUCUGCAGCAGUGCCCUGCGGAGAGUGUCUGCCGAGGCUCGUGA
RNAcentral lists this ribosomal RNA (1113 nucleotides) under Triticum aestivum (bread wheat). RNAcentral describes it as "partial small subunit ribosomal RNA". The record is from RNAcentral. Lineage: Eukaryota; Viridiplantae; Streptophyta; Magnoliopsida; Poales; Poaceae.